AUGCGCUGUCGUGGCCCGCCUCCGACUGCUUCAGCAAGCCAAGAAACUGGAACGCGCCCAUUCCCGGCGACCUCGGCAUCUCCAUCGAUGAUGAAAUCUUGCGAGCUUGUGGCUCGUUAUACUGAGUUGGAGAACAAGCAUAUCCAGCUCGAACUUGAUUUGAACCUUGUCCAGGAGAACUUCACGAAGGCGAAGGAGGAGGCAAAAGAUAAACUGAAGGAGGCUCGAAAGAAGAAGGACCUUGACCUCGUCGAGGCGCAGAAAGCGGCUUUGGACAAGACGAAGCUCGCAGAAGAAAAGCUGGCUUCAAUCAGCAAACUUGAAGAGGAGAAUACCAAUCUGAAAGCUGCUCUCAACACGGCCAACAAGGAGGUCAGUCGACUGAAGAAUGACAAACCCUAA
This 402-nucleotide ribosomal RNA is filed under the name Triticum aestivum (bread wheat). RNAcentral's name for it is "partial small subunit ribosomal RNA". Lineage: Eukaryota; Viridiplantae; Streptophyta; Magnoliopsida; Poales; Poaceae. The record is from RNAcentral.